RNAcentral lists this small RNA (524 nucleotides) under Pongo abelii (Sumatran orangutan). Its description in RNAcentral is "processed transcript". The record is from RNAcentral. Lineage: Eukaryota; Metazoa; Chordata; Mammalia; Primates; Hominidae.
GAUCAGAGGUGCAGCUCUGCUGGAGAGACCUGAGGCUUGCAACGCUGGGCCCGGCCGAGUCGCUGCGGCUGGGCUGGAGGAAGCAUCUAACCAAAAUUAAGUCAAAGGCAUCUACCAGGUCCUGAAUUCUCUCCCAGAUGCACACCUUUUAAGGUCAAGGAUGCAUUCCAGGAAAGUUCCAUAAAAAUAUACCAUCAACUCCAACCUGAUAUUUGACCUAGCUGUGGAAAACCUCAUUGGCUCCUCACUAGAUCAGACCAUAAAAAUGAUUCAGGAAUGAAAAUCUAAGAUAAAUUCCCACCACUUCAAGAUGUUCUUAUACAAGUCAACAGUCUAGCAGAUCAGCCAGUCUCUUUCAUCAUCAAGCAGACAUACUCAAGGUACCAACACAGCAAAGGCACAAAAUGUCUCUAUAUCAGUAUUUUUCAUGGUGUAUGUGAGACCCAUUAGUGAGGCAUGAAAUCAAUUCUGUGAGUCACAAUGAACAUUUUUUUAAAAAACGAAAUAAAAUGUAAAAUACCAAA